AUUGAACGCUGGCGGCAGGCCUAACACAUGCAAGUCGAACGGUAACAGGAAGAAGCUUGCUUCUUUGCUUACGAGUGGCGGACGUGUGAGAAAUGUCUGGGAAACUGCCUGAUGGAUGGGGUUAACUACUGGAAACGGUAGCUAAUACCGCAUAACGUCUCAACACCAAAGAGGGGGACCUUAGGGCCUCUUUCCAUCGGAUUUGCCCAGACGGGAUUAGCUAGUAGGUGGGGUAACGGCUCACCUAGGCGACGAUCCCUAGCUGGUCUGAGAGGAUGACCAGCCACACUGGAACUGAGACACGGUCCAGACUCCUACGGGAGGCAGCAGUGGGGAAUCUUGCGCAAUGGGCGCAAGCCUGACGCAGCAAUGCCGCGUGUAUGAAGAAGGCCUUCGGGUCGUAAAGUUCUUUCAGCGGGGAGGAAGGAAGUAAAGUUAAUAUAUUUGCUCAUUGACGUUACCCGAAGAAGAAGCCACGGCUAACUCCGUG
Molecule: ribosomal RNA, 490 nt
Filed under: uncultured bacterium
Lineage: Bacteria
Description: partial 16S ribosomal RNA
Rfam family: Bacterial small subunit ribosomal RNA
Source: RNAcentral